AACCUUGUAGUGUAAAACAUGUUAGAUUGCAAAUCUUAUUAUGUAGGUUCAACACCUACCAGGGUUU
RNAcentral lists this transfer RNA (67 nucleotides) under Neocyema erythrosoma. RNAcentral describes it as "tRNA-Cys". It matches the Rfam family "tRNA". From Rfam's summary of the family: Transfer RNA (tRNA) molecules are approximately 80 nucleotides in length. Their secondary structure includes four short double-helical elements and three loops (D, anti-codon, and T loops). Lineage: Eukaryota; Metazoa; Chordata; Actinopteri; Anguilliformes; Cyematidae. The record is from RNAcentral.